GUGCACGCUGGCGGUAGGCCUAACACAUGCAAGUCGAACGGCAGCACAGUAAGAGCUUGCUCUUACGGGUGGCGAGUGGCGGACGGGUGAGGAAUACAUCGGAAUCUACUUUUUCGUGGGGGAUAACGUAGGGAAACUUACGCUAAUACCGCAUACGACCUACGGGUGAAAGCAGGGGAUCUUCGGACCUUGCGCGAUUGAAUGAGCCGAUGUCGGAUUAGCUAGUUGGCGGGGUAAAGGCCCACCAAGGCGACGAUCCGUAGCUGGUCUGAGAGGAUGAUCAGCCACACUGGAACUGAGACACGGUCCAGACUCCUACGGGAGGCAGCAGUGGGGAAUAUUGGACAAUGGGCGCAAGCCUGAUCCAGCCAUACCGCGUGGGUGAAGAAGGCCUUCGGGUUGUAAAGCCCUUUUGUUGGGAAAGAAAAGCAGCAGGUUAAUACCCCGCUGUUCUGACGGUACCCAAAGAAUAAGCACCGGCUAACUUCGUG
Molecule: ribosomal RNA, 491 nt
Filed under: uncultured bacterium
Lineage: Bacteria
Description: partial 16S ribosomal RNA
Rfam family: Bacterial small subunit ribosomal RNA
Source: RNAcentral